UAGAGUUUGAUGCCUGGCUCAGAUUGAACGCUGGCGGUAUGCUUAACACAUGCAAGUCGAACGGAAACGAUACUAGCUUGCUAGUAGGCGUCGAGUGGCGGACGGGUGAGUAACGCGUAGGAAUCUGCCUGAUAGUGGGGGAUAGCCCGAAGAAAUUCGGAUUAAUACCGCAUAAUCUAUUCGUAGUAAAGUGGGGGACUUUCGAGCCUCACGCUAUCAGAUGAGCCUGCGUAAGAUUAGCUUGUUGGUAGGGUAAAAGCCUACCAAGGCGACGAUCUUUAGCUGGUCUGAGAGGAUGAUCAGCCACAUCGGGACUGAGACACGGCCCGAACUCCUACGGGAGGCAGCAGUGGGGAAUAUUGGACAAUGGGGGCAACCCUGAUCCAGCAAUACCGCGUGUGUGAAGAAGGCCUGAGGGUUGUAAAGCACUUUCAAUUGUGAAGAAAAGUUAGCGGUUAAUAACCGUUAGCCUUGACGUUAACUUUAGAAGAAGCACCGGCUAACUCCGUGCCAGCAGCCGCGGUAAUACGGAGGGUGCAAGCGUUAAUCGGAAUUACUGGGCGUAAAGCGUGCGUAGGCGGUUUAUUAAGUCAGAUGUGAAAACCCCGGGCUUAACCUGGGAACUGCAUUUGAAACUGGUCAACUAGAGUAUGGUAGAGGAAAGUGGAAUUUCUGGUGUAGCGGUGAAAUGCGUAGAUAUCAGAAGGAACAUCAAUGGCGAAGGCAGCUUUCUGGACCAAUACUGACGCUGAGGUACGAAAGCGUGGGUAGCAAACAGGAUUAGAUACCCUGGUAGUCCACGCCGUAAACGAUGAUAACUAGCCGUUGGGGGGAUUUACCCUUUAGUGGCGAAGCUAACGCGUUAAGUUAUCCGCCUGGGGAGUACGGCCGCAAGGUUAAAACUCAAAGGAAUUGACGGGGACCCGCACAAGCGGUGGAGCAUGUGGUUUAAUUCGAUGCAACGCGAAGAACCUUACCUGGUCUUGACAUCCUGCGAACUUUCUAGAAAUAGAUUGGUGCCUUCGGGAACGCAGUGACAGGUGCUGCAUGGCUGUCGUCAGCUCGUGUCGUGAGAUGUUGGGUUAAGUCCCGUAACGAGCGCAACCCCUAUCCUUAUUUGCCAGCACAUCAUGGUGGGAACUAUAAGGAGACUGCCGGUGAUAAACCGGAGGAAGGCGGGGACGACGUCAAGUCAUCAUGGCCCUUACGACCAGGGCUACACACGUGCUACAAUGGGAAGGACAAAGAGCCGCGAAGCCGCGAGGUGUAGCUAAUCUCAUAAACCUUUUCGUAGUCCGGAUUGGAGUCUGCAACUCGACUCCAUGAAGUCGGAAUCGCUAGUAAUCGUAGAUCAGAAUGCUACGGUGAAUACGUUCCCGGGUCUUGUACAC
RNAcentral lists this ribosomal RNA (1391 nucleotides) under uncultured bacterium. RNAcentral describes it as "16S ribosomal RNA". It matches the Rfam family "Bacterial small subunit ribosomal RNA". The record is from RNAcentral.